GAUCCCCUGAUUUCUGUUACGAUAAUAGGGGUGGUUCAACUGAAAUUACACUGAAUUAGCAGGUAUGAAACUCGUGUUGAAUAAGUGUAGAACUGUUGAUGACUGCUUGAGCACUCGCUCGAGAGUGCUGGACUCGGAAUUGGAGUUGGAAUGGGACUAAUUUGGAGAGAGUGAGAAACUGAACUCGACUGACUAGCUGCCCUUAAGGUGUCUCGGAGGAAAACUUGCUGUGGGUGUGUUCUUUGACCGAAAAAUAGCCUUUUAUGAUGAACAUGUGUUGGGUUUUUCCCGUCUGAUGACUGUCCGCUUUCUCCGUGAUGUUUAAGAGCGCCUAAUAAACUCAAGGAUCUUUCCAAAACCCCGCCAUAAACUGCAAAUAUUUCUAGAAUUAUAGAAUUCUCUCGAUAUGCAAUUAGACUGGCAAGCAUUUGUGGAGACAAUGCAGCUAAAGGCUAAUGUCUUUAUGGUGGGUCAUUGCGUCUAUUGAGAAUCGGGAUGGCUGUAGAUUGACCGUUGGCUACCAGGUAGCGAGAGACGGCGCGCAGAUGUCCUACGCGACGUAACAAAUGAAGUACCAAAAUAAUGAUGAACGAUCCACGGAUGAAAUAAUUCUCCAUAGACACACUUAAUUCAAUUUAAAUUUAUUAAUGCACGUAGAAAUAUCAUUUACUAUGUUGCAUACAAAUUUAUUACUAGAAAUAUGUUUAUUACAAACCAUAUUUACUAUAAUAAAUUAAAGCUAAACCAUA
This is a long non-coding RNA of Bombus pyrosoma, 749 nucleotides long. RefSeq lists it as uncharacterized. The record is from RefSeq and is a predicted model, not a curated record. Lineage: Eukaryota; Metazoa; Arthropoda; Insecta; Hymenoptera; Apidae. The transcript is spliced from 2 exons.